AAGAUCUCCAUCCAUAUCUAAACAUCUGACACGUUUGUGCAGUUCUUCACUCAAAAGACCCCAAAAUCACCACUUUCCUCCAAAACGUACCUAAACCUGAAAACAUACUAAAAAUACUCAAAAAAACUAUAAUGUAUUUAUAAACACAUAUAUACCAUAGCUAAAAGUGGGUAAAAUCCAUGAUAUAUCAUCAAAGUCACCACUGAAGACCUCUUUCUCUCUC
This 223-nucleotide long non-coding RNA is filed under the name Brassica napus (rape). RNAcentral's name for it is "long non-coding RNA (BNAP_LNC015636)". Lineage: Eukaryota; Viridiplantae; Streptophyta; Magnoliopsida; Brassicales; Brassicaceae. The record is from RNAcentral.